This 259-nucleotide ribosomal RNA is filed under the name uncultured prokaryote. Its description in RNAcentral is "partial 16S ribosomal RNA". It matches the Rfam family "Bacterial small subunit ribosomal RNA", at positions 524 to 782 of the family's 1533-position model. The record is from RNAcentral.
UACGUAGGUGGCGAGCGUUAUCCGGAAUUAUUGGGCGUAAAGAGCGCGCAGGUGGUUGAUUAAGUCUGAUGUGAAAGCCCACGGCUUAACCGUGGAGGGUCAUUGGAAACUGGUCGACUUGAGUGCAGAAGAGGGAAGUGGAAUUCCAUGUGUAGCGGUGAAAUGCGUAGAGAUAUGGAGGAACACCAGUGGCGAAGGCGGCUUCCUGGUCUGUAACUGACACUGAGGCGCGAAAGCAUGGGUAGCGAACAGGAUUAGA